Molecule: ribosomal RNA, 889 nt
Filed under: uncultured bacterium
Lineage: Bacteria
Description: bacterial SSU rRNA
Rfam family: Bacterial small subunit ribosomal RNA
Source: RNAcentral
UCGACGAUGAAUCUUCUAGCUUGCUAGAAGUGGAUUAGUGGCGCACGGGUGAGUAAUGCAUAGGUUAUGUGCCCUUUAGUCUGGGAUAGCCACUGGAAACGGUGAUUAAUACUGGAUACUCCCUACGGGGGAAAGUUUUUCGCUAAAGGAUCAGCCUAUGUCCUAUCAGCUUGUUGGUGAGGUAAUGGCUCACCAAGGCUAUGACGGGUAUCCGGCCUGAGAGGGUGAUCGGACACACUGGAACUGAGACACGGUCCAGACUCCUACGGGAGGCAGCAGUAGGGAAUAUUGCUCAAUGGGGGAAACCCUGAAGCAGCAACGCCGCGUGGAGGAUGAAGGUUUUAGGAUUGUAAACUCCUUUUGUUAGAGAAGAUUAUGACGGUAUCUAACGAAUAAGCACCGGCUAACUCCGUGCCAGCAGCCGCGGUAAUACGGAGGGUGCAAGCGUUACUCGGAAUCACUGGGCGUAAAGAGUGCGUAGGCGGGGUAAUAAGUCAGAUGUGAAAUCCUGUAGCUUAACUACAGAACUGCAUUUGAAACUGUUACUCUGGAGUGUGGGAGAGGUAGGUGGAAUUCUUGGUGUAGGGGUAAAAUCCGUAGAGAUCAAGAGGAAUACUCAUUGCGAAGGCGACCUGCUGGAACAUUACUGACGCUGAUGCACGAAAGCGUGGGGAGCAAACAGGAUUAGAUACCCUGGUAGUCCACGCCCUAAACGAUGGAUGCUAGUUGUUGCCUUGCUUGUCAGGGCAGUAAUGCAGCUAACGCAUUAAGCAUCCCGCCUGGGGAGUACGGUCGCAAGAUUAAAACUCAAAGGAAUAGACGGGGACCCGCACAAGCGGUGGAGCAUGUGGUUUAAUUCGAAGGUACGCGAAGAACCUUACCUAGGCUU